UAGCAGUCCUAAUAUAUAAUAUUUCUCAAAACGUCUUCUCUAUUCCAAAAAAACAAAACAAAAAAAAAACUACAAAAACAACAUGGCUCAUAUGUAAGCGCAGCAAACUCGGCACCAUCACUCAUUUCACAAAUGAAGGGGUGUUUGCAUUGAAUCUUAAAGAUACAGCAGCAAAAACAGAUUGUUGAGUUGUAAGGGUGUAAAUAGUCAUGAAAUAUCUAAUUUUUUUUUAUUUUUAGUGCAAAAAAAAUUUACUGUUUUAUUAAAGUCACCAUUAAAACAAAUUCGACAAUUUUUUUUUUUUUUAUAGGAUAUUGCAGUAUUUAUUAAAAAUGAAUCAUUUGUGCACUUCAUUAUUUUUUAAAUUCUUUAAUCUUUAAUCAAAAUAACUCCCUCUCCUUCUUGCAGCGACAUUUCUUCUAUUCUCUGAUGAUGUCCAAUCAAUUCCCCAUGGACAAAAUCAAGCCCCGCCCUCUAUUCUUGUUCCAGAAGCUGUUUCACUCGGAUAUACUUCACAUUAGGCAAGAAAAGACUAUCACAUCUUUCAUUUUAUGACUUUAAUAAUCUGGAGAACAGCAGAUGAAGCACAGUGGUAUCAAGCAAUCUUCCCACAUAAUCUGAUCAGUACUUCUUGAUCUGGGACACUUCAUGCAGGCCGUCGUCAAAGCCUCCGAUGGGAAGCAUAAUGAUGCUCUUGCCUGUUACAUCCUGAAAGGUUCUGGCAACGGGAAUCGUGCCUCCCUCACGGAUUAAGUCAGGCUCUACGUCAAAAACUGCAGGAGAGAGGUACCUGGCGAAUAGAGAACUUAGCUAUAACUUUGGCCGGUAUGACAGUCUUGGAGCCUGAUGAAGAGAAAGCUCCCUCUAUGCCAUGGAUAGACACGGUCGGGUAACGCCAACGAUGGAAUACAUCAGCUCGUCCACGCCGAUCUCCUGCUUGUAGCUCUCCAAGUCAAACUCAAUGUCUUGAUACAUCUUCCAUUCCUCAUCAGAAAGAGGUGCGACUGCUUCCCUAAUGCCGGGAAUGAGGAUUUUCCCACUGGGG
Ctenopharyngodon idella (grass carp) is the source of this 1045-nucleotide long non-coding RNA. RefSeq lists it as uncharacterized. The record is from RefSeq and is a predicted model, not a curated record. NCBI's taxonomy places the organism in Eukaryota, Metazoa, Chordata, Actinopteri, Cypriniformes, Xenocyprididae. The transcript has 5 exons.